Long non-coding RNA from Vulpes vulpes (red fox), 2202 nucleotides. The record is from Ensembl. NCBI's taxonomy places the organism in Eukaryota, Metazoa, Chordata, Mammalia, Carnivora, Canidae.
CUCCCUCUCCCCCCUCCCUCUCUCUUCCUCCCCCCCCAUCCGCCCUCUUCUCUCUCUCACUGUGGGAAAAUGAACUUACUUUCCAUCACCCGUGACAUCUGACCACUGGGCUGAUCACGAGGACACCGUGGUAAACCACAGCUCAACUUGAGACGAUCUCUUCCCGGCGCAGUGCCUGAGCUCGGGAUGGCACCAUCCCGGUGACCCCGCGGGCGUCUGGGCCGCAGUCCCGUCCUCGCUCCCACCAUCCCCUCGCAGGACUGCUCCUGCCCCGCUGUCCUCCCGCUGGGCGCACCCCAGGCGAGGAGCCAGUAAACCAGAGAGCAGUUUGCGCCUGGCUGCGGUGCUCUCACAUAGCAGCUUUCCUUCUAAAAGCGGAGGCUGGGGAAGCGUGCAGACCUCAGAGAUCCUAGAAAAGAAACAAAAACAAAACGCUAGGCCCCCAGAUUGCUGUCGGGAUGGUCCAGCAGGGACUCUGCGUUCAUCUCCCUCCGGUUUGAAUCCUCUCGGUGGGAGUAGCCGGUUGAUGCCUCCAGCAGCCUGCACUCGGCCCACUCCAAAGAAAUGCAGCCAAGCAUUCCAGAAACAAAGUCUGCAAGGAAAGAAUUUUGAGCAGACCCAAGAGAUGGACUUUUCCGGGCCUCUCUGGUCACUGCUGGGCUCCCGGAGGGCAGCCCCGAGGUUCAGGCCAGGGGGUACUCACCCCCCAGCAGCCCCCCUGCACCCGGUGGAGUGCCCGACAAGGGAGACCCGAGUGUGCAGGUCGGCUGUCCUCUUAGCUGAGGAGGAGGAGGAGGAAGAGGGAGGAGGGGGAGGCAAAAGGAGGAGGAGGGAGCAGGGGCAUCCCCCUCGUUGCUGCUGCAUGUCCGGGAAUAUAGGCCGCAUCCUGGGCCCGACUCAAGGCCAACUGGAAGGUGCAGACCAUGGCCUGUGCCCAGUUCCCUCCCUGUGUUCCCAUGCCACCCCCAGACCCAAAGACGCGGAGAGGCCCCCAGGACCCACGAGCAGGCGGGGGAGGCCGACAGCGAGCAGAGGCCCCACAGCGCAGGGCACAGGGAACCAGGCCCAGUUGGGGCUGCCGGCCCUCCCGCCUCCCUGGGCCUUACCCUCAACCUUGGCUAAGGGCACGUGAGACCCAAGCAGGUUAGGAAGAUGGAAAGAGUCUAUAGGGAGGAAGAACCCGAAGAAGACAAAGCAGCAUCCUACAGAAAGCAGGAAACGUGGCCACGCACAGGCCCAGCAGUGGGGCCAGGCCCUUCUUCUCUGGGGGAGAAGUACACAUUCAGGUCCAAGGUGAGUACCUGGCCAGUCGGGUUGGAGGGGGAAGCUGAGGGAGCCUCUGCACUCCACUUCCGAGACAGGGGAACAGAGGUGGGAGCCAGGAAGCCUUGACCCCUGAAGGAUGAGCGGCAAGGACAGUCAUUGAACGCACUUCGUUCUCGUGCUUUAAAUUCUCUAGGCAUUUCCCACACAGAAUCAUCAUGAUUUAAAAAGUCACUCAAGUCAGGCCCAGAAAGCGUUAGACUGUUUUCUUCCAAGUUCUAGUCUGGCCCCCACCUCUACUGCUUCCCAGUGUCCUUUACCCAAAUUCGUUGCUCCCCUGGCAGGCCAGCCUGGUCCCCCACAGAACAACACAUGCUGUGCUCCCCGUGAGCGCACUUGUGAUGAACUUUGAGCCACACAUCUGCUGCAGACAAGGAACUCUAUUCCCACAUGGCUGACACGAGCUGAAGAUUCUGGGUUCAUCCCCACCGUAGCAUAUUUUUAUUAGAUAGGCCGCUGGAAAAUCAGAGGAGUGAAUUUAGCUGCUACGUCCAUACCUCGUUACAAUGCAUGCCCAGCUAUUGUUCUUUUCAUCAGCCUGAUGUUAUUCUGACUCUGUUUCUGCAGAGUGAAUAUUUGGGUGGAAACCAGUGUCCAUCCUCAUUUACCCUCCGAACCGUUGUUGUAUCUGGGCUAAGGAUGUAUUUUCAUGAUGUCACCACUCCAAGCCUCUUUCUUUGAUUUAAAGCAGGGGUUGGCACACAUCAUGUGUAAAGUCCCAGAAAGUAAAUACUUUAGCCCUUUGUGGGACAUAACAAUCUCUGUGGCAGCAACUCAGCUCUGUCAUGGCUGCAUGAAAACAGCCAGAGAAAGCACUUACGUGAAUAAGCACGGCUGUGUCCCAAUAAAACUUUAUUUACAAAGAAAGUGGGUGGGAUU